AUAUGUAUGAAUGAAAUGAGAUGUUGUGUCAUAAACAAUUCAAAGAAGUUAGAAUUAAAGAAUAAUAAGAGGAACAAGCCAUGUGUUGUUCCAACAUAUUUGCAUCCAUCAUGAGACCCAUUUUCCAUGACAUCUUUAAGGCCUACUUUGCUAUUCUUAACAGCUCCAUUAUUUUAUAUGGAUAGGGUUGUUUAUUAUCCAAUAAGACCAAAAAAAUAUAUUUAACUCUUUUC
RNAcentral lists this long non-coding RNA (233 nucleotides) under Carica papaya (papaya). RNAcentral's name for it is "long non-coding RNA (CPAP_LNC000148)". Lineage: Eukaryota; Viridiplantae; Streptophyta; Magnoliopsida; Brassicales; Caricaceae. The record is from RNAcentral.